UUGGGGGCUAAUUCUGAGGUUUAUUGUGACCCAGAAGGGUCCAACAGCACAUGAACAAAGCCAGCCAACGAGAGCACCCGAGAGGUGCUUGCCACAAGUUAUAUACAGGGAGGACCAGCCAAUGGGGAGACAUUAGGGAGUGGUUCUUGUGGGGAUUGACAUAUAAGGGAACCAGUGAGGGAUAGACAGGGAAGGGGCCCUAGGCCCUAAUCCAAUCACUCGGCACCCAGGAUGGAAGCUUCUAGAUGUAGGGGACAGGACACCGAGUGACAGACAAGGCAGCUGGGAGGGGACAGGGGAAUGACUAAGUACUUUCUGGGGAGACUGACACAUUAGGGAAGGCAGGAAAACUCAGGGAGAAACCAAUACAAUGUGGGGGUAUACAGGAACAAAUGAUUACAGGAUGAAAAUGCAAUAAAACAUAAAAAAAAACGCAACUCCACAUCUCCCCCUUUUUUGUUUAAAAAGAAAGAAAGAGGGAGCGAAAUGAAUUUUAAAUGGGGGAAUCACUGUCCAUUGGCUCAUCUUGGAACCAGAUGUCUUGUUCCUGGUGUUCUGCUUGGUUGAGGGGUUCCUUCUUUGAUGGUGAGGCCAAUGUGCCCUGAUUGAUGUUAAUUGUGGAGUUGAUUGCCUUUAAAAUUAAUUUUUUUACAAUACUAAAACCAAUAAUGAAAACAACAAGGGCUAACGGAAGAACAAGUCCUGUCCGAAUGAUGGAUUGGAUCCAACCAGAGAGUCCACUCCUUGGAAGAUUGACCCCAGACAGUCUGAUGAGUCUUUUUUAAGGUUAUGGAUCAUAUCUUGCAUUUUGGAUAUUGUAGCGCGGACGUCCUCAGUCUUAGAACUCAAAUUCCUACAACAUAAUCCGGCAAAUUCCUCACAUUUGUGAUUAUGUAAAAGUAAGAGAAAAUCAGUUGCGGCACGGUUUUGGAGGGUUGCCUGCCUCGUUGUUUCCUCAUGUGCUAGGAGGUCGGCUAGGACAGAUGAAGUAAGAUUUGCUUGUUUAGCCACCCGACAUUUGAAGUGAGCCAAUUCCCCAAUGCUCUGCGCAAUUGCCACCCACAUUAAAAAAAGGGGAGGGAUGUGCUUUUCAUAGUUGACCAAUGAACAACUUCAUCUUUGCAAUUUGAGUCCCAUUCUGUAAUACUAGUGUCUCUUUUUUGACGCGCCAAUUGCCCUAUCUGAUUUAGAUCCCUCCAAUGAGAAAUUUGGGGUUUAUUUAGGGUAAAGAAGCUCAACUGCCCGAAUGUACAAGGACCUCCGACCAGGUGAGGGGGGUGCCUGCCCAAGCCCGAUUACCACAGAUAAGGAAUGUGCCCUUGGGUAAUGCAUGGGGUUUGUUAUCAGAGAUGGAGAAGCCAGGGAUUUGAAGCACUCUUUUACACCAUUCCUUAGCUGUAUAUUCAGGGAUUGAUUGCUUUAUUUUGGUACGCAGUUGGGCAAGGGGGUUGGAGGAAACAACAAAAUGAAUACAAGUGUAGGCAAGGGAGCAACCAAGUAAUUCUAAUUCUUUGGGGUUCUUUUCCAUGACUAGGAAUGCUUUGACCCACUUCCUCCACGCAUCUGGUUGUUUAACAACAUGGACGAUGAAGAAGCGGGUCUUUUCUCAAGGGGCAGAGACAUUUUUGGGAAAAGUAAAAGGAAACUCAUUUAAGAGAUAUGGGAUCCCCAUGAGGCAGGACAGGAGGGGGUUGGAAGCUGAGGAGGUAGACAAACAUAAAUGAUCUUGAUUUAAAGACUUGGCCAAAGUGGUCCACAC
Molecule: long non-coding RNA, 1759 nt
Filed under: Taeniopygia guttata (zebra finch)
Lineage: Eukaryota; Metazoa; Chordata; Aves; Passeriformes; Estrildidae
Description: lncRNA (ENSTGUG00000021684.1)
Source: RNAcentral